RNAcentral lists this ribosomal RNA (845 nucleotides) under uncultured bacterium. RNAcentral's name for it is "bacterial SSU rRNA". It matches the Rfam family "Bacterial small subunit ribosomal RNA", at positions 69 to 916 of the family's 1533-position model. The record is from RNAcentral.
AAUCUUAUUUGUUCUUUGUUUCGGUCCUUUCCGGACUAAGGAACGAUAAGAUUUAGUGGCGGACGGGUGAGUAACACGUUGGUACCUGCCCUUUAGUGGGGAAUAACUGGCCGAAAGGUCAGCUAAUACCGCAUGUGAUCUACGGAUUAAAGCCUUCGGGCGCUAGAGGAGGGGCCUGCGUAGCAUUAGCUAGUUGGUAGGGUAAUGGCCUACCAAGGCGACGAUGCUUAGCUGGUUCGAGAGGAUGACCAGCCACACUGGGACUGAGAUACGGCCCAGACUCCUACGGGAGGCAGCAGUAAGGAAUCUUCCACAAUGGACGAAAGUCUGAUGGAGCAACGCCGCGUGCAGGAUGACGGUCUUCGGAUUGUAAACUGCUUUUAUUUGGGAAGAUUAUGACGGUACCAAAUGAAUAAGGACCGGCUAACUACGUGCCAGCAGCCGCGGUAAUACGUAGGGUCCAAGCGUUAUCCGGAAUCACUGGGCGUAAAGCGUGCGUAGGCGGCGCGUUAAGUGCAAUGCGAAAUCCAACGGCUCAACCGUUCGGACUGUAUUGCAUACUGGCGUGCUUGAGGAUGGUAGAGGCAAGUGGAACUGGUAGUGUAGCAGUGAAAUGCGUAGAUAUUACCAAGAACACCAAUGGCGAAGGCAGCUUGCUGGGCCACACCUGACGCUAAGGCACGAAAGCGUGGGGAGCGAACAGGAUUAGAUACCCUGGUAGUCCACGCCGUAAACGAUGCAUACUAUUAGUAUGGGGUAUCGACCCCCUGUGCUAAGCAGCUAACGCGAUAAGUAUGCCGCCUGGGGAGUACGAUCGCAAGAUUAAAACUCAAAGGAAUUGACGG